UUGUAGCUCAAUGGUAGAGCGUCCGACUACUGUGCGGAUUAGGUCACAGGUUCGACUCCAGCUGGCAAAA
Molecule: transfer RNA, 70 nt
Filed under: Desmophyllum pertusum
Lineage: Eukaryota; Metazoa; Cnidaria; Anthozoa; Scleractinia; Caryophylliidae
Description: tRNA-Ser
Source: RNAcentral